Molecule: long non-coding RNA, 283 nt
Organism: Centruroides sculpturatus (bark scorpion)
Lineage: Eukaryota; Metazoa; Arthropoda; Arachnida; Scorpiones; Buthidae
Exons: 3
Source: RefSeq, a predicted model, not a curated record
ACGCCUUCCGACGCAACUACCAAUCAAUACAUAAGAAAAUUUACUGAUGAAGCACGUUUGUUUUGUUUGCAUACAUUUCAGUUUCUUAAAUUUUAAUAGAAGCAAACAUGAUGGAAUUAAAUUUAAAUCGAGUAGAUUAUCUACAGGUUGGCGUGACAUCACCACAGACAACUAAGCUUUUACCUCCGACGGAAGAAAACAGCUGUCAGAGAGUUGCUGUUGGUGAUCAAUCAGGAGUCUUGAUGUGUUUUGGUAUAAAGAAAAGUGAAACACAGGUAAAGAU